AAACAACUCUCCAUUUUUUCCUCUCUCAGAAUCUCUGCAACUUUUUACAAAACACAAUAUAUAUAUACACUCACCGAUUUUCAAGGAUUAGGGUUUUUCUCUCACUGUGAAGUUAUGACGGAACACGACGACCAUAAAGUGGAGAAAGAGGAGCAUGAUGAGUCACUGAUGGACAAAAUUUCUGAAAAACUUCAUUUCAGUAAUCAUUCAUCGUCGCCGGCACCGGCGUCGUCUUCGUCUGAUUCCGAUGAUGAGAAGAAAAAACCGACGUCACCAGCACCAGCAACGUCGUCGUUUGGGUCUAAAGUUCGUCGGCUCUUUGGUAGGGAACGUCCAGUUCAUAAAGUCUUCGGUGGUGGAAAACCUGCUGAUGUGUUCUUGUGGAGGAACAAGAAGAUUUCUGCAGGAUUUCUUGGCGGGGCAACAGCUAUCUGGGUUCUCUUUGAGGUAGUAGAAUACCAUUUGCUCACCUUGCUCUGUCAUGGUCUGAUGAUUGCUCUGGCUGGAUUGUUUUUGUGGAGCAAUGCUAGCACUUUCAUUCACAAAUCUGCUCCACACAUUCCAGAGGUUCACAUCCCUGAGAAGCCUGUUUUGGAGUUUGCCUCAGCUCUUAGGAAUGAGAUCAACCGUGCUUUGGCAGUUCUGAGGGAAAUUGCAUCUGGAAGGGAUUUGAAGAUGUUCCUUUUGGUCAUUGGUGGUUUGUGGCUCGCGUCAAUCUUGGGUGGUUGCUGUGAUUUCUUGACCCUGUUCUACAUAAUUGUUGUUGUGCUACACACAGUACCUGUUCUGUAUGAGAAAUACGAGGAUCAAGUGGAUGCAUUUGCGGAGAAAGCCUUGCAUGAACUCAAGAAACAGUACGCCGUCUUAGAUGCAAAGGUAUUGAGUAAAAUUCCUCGAGGGCCACUGAAAGAUAAGAAGAAAGAU
This 924-nucleotide unclassified non-coding RNA is filed under the name Hevea brasiliensis (rubber tree). The record is from RNAcentral. Lineage: Eukaryota; Viridiplantae; Streptophyta; Magnoliopsida; Malpighiales; Euphorbiaceae.